Callithrix jacchus (white-tufted-ear marmoset) is the source of this 39311-nucleotide non-coding RNA. The record is from RefSeq and is a predicted model, not a curated record. NCBI's taxonomy places the organism in Eukaryota, Metazoa, Chordata, Mammalia, Primates, Cebidae.
AUAAAUGCAACUUGGCCUAUUCCAUCUUUGUUUUUUCCUGGAAUUAAGAAGAGUCUCCCUACACCUUUGAGCUCUUAUAAACUUGUACUAACCUAAAUGUAUAGGCAGGCUAGAAGUAAUUUGCAGAUGGCAUUUUAAGAAAAAAACAUGUUCACGUUCAAUAAAACGCCCUAUGUGAUUGUACAAAGUGUAUUUGUUAUUAAAGUACCCAGGGUAAAUGUUCAUAUGCCUGUUUAUGCCUUCUGUUCAACAGAAGAAAAGAAUAGGUGCUGGGACUCACAGAGCUCAGGUUUUAACAACUUUAGGAGGCAAGUUUGCCUUGCAGGCCAUUUACAAAGUAUUUCUACCACCUCUGACAUCAGAGUUAUAAAUGUUUAAAAGACUGCACAGUGACUUUAUAGCUUUCCUGCAUUUAAUUUAUGUUCACACAAACUGUAAAAGAGAGAAAGCUAGUACUUUCUCUUUUCUCUUGCUGUUACAUAAUGCAUUCACACAUUAAGUAGACAAAAUUGAUCCUUCUAUUCUCCAGCUGCAGACUUUUGACUUUAUUCCCCAAAUAUUCAGAGUUUGUAUGGAAAAGGAGCUCAAGGUAGGGGAAGGGAAAAGACAUUUUAUUCUCUACCUUUUUGUCCUUUAAACUGUGUGAUCAAAAGUAUCAUCAUGUGGCACCACAGUGGGGGGGAAGAUAGAGUAAACAGACUGGAGAAUGAAUUGGACUAAUAUAAUGGAGUUUCACGCCUCCCCUCUUUUUUUAAAACAUAUUAAGGUUUAUUCAUUCCACAAACAUGCUAAGCAUCUGUAAUAUGUCUGGUGUUGUUCUAGACCCUUGGGAUACAUUAAUGAACAGAAAAAUGAAUAAAGAUAAAGCCUUCCUGAGGCUUAUAUUCUAGGGCUUGAUCAUUGAGUCAUAGAACCCGAUUCAAAUUGUUCAGAUUAUUUUUCCCCAAAUGGUCUUACUACUCUUACUCUCAUCAAAGACUUCAGUUCCUGUUAAUUUUCCUUACCAUUUCUGUUGCAAUUUUCAUUUGCUCAGUGCUCUAACUCCAGUUGUUACCCAAGGAGACUGCAUAAUCUCAUUUCUUGGACAUUUCUUCAAUUCACAUCCAUUCUUUCUGUCAUUAUACACUUGCUAUGGACAGAGAAAUAGACAGAGGUAAUGACCGAAGAGUCUUUGUAGUCCUAGUUCUGUAAAUAUCUAAGCAUCAAGUGUCUACUCAAAGUAGGUAAGUAUUGUUUUCUUUCUUUGUAAUGUAGCGAACAAAGUUCAAGGAGGCUGCAAAUGGGAAAGGCUUGAAAAGAGUCAAGGUUUAGACUUCUCACUUUGAAUUCAGUACUGAGACUAUGAAGAUUGCUGCUUGUUCUGUUUAUUCUCCCAUUCAUUUAUGCAUUCAUGACUCCUUCAUCCAGUACACCUUCAGUUACUGCAAAACUAUGUGCCAGACACUGCCCCACCUGGCGAGGGGAGCUAAGAUACACCAGAAAUUCAUUGCCCCCUGGAUUCAGUCUGGCGGGAGACCAGGAUGCUUCUUUGCAAGCACAGUUCUUAAUUUCACGUCAUGGAGGACUUAAGUGUUUCUUCAGCUGGCUUUUGUCUUUUUCAGUAUUUUUGUGGCAAGUUAUCUUUGCCAGCAGAGGAAUACACUAUUAACAUGUUGCAUACAGAACUGAGUUCUUUGACAUGUCCGUGCGUAUACACAUGCAUACGCAGACACGUGCACAAAGAUUUAUUUUUCCUCAACUUCACUGAACUGUUUUUCCUUCAGUUAUCUGCUGAGGGAAUAUAGAAAUAUGCAAGCUUUUCAGAAGUCCAAUGGGAUUCAUGCCCAACUGAGGUAUUUCACUCUGCACUCUGUGUCAGUUCCUGGAAAUUAACAAUGACCAUUUCACUUUGGUCUUUGAUCCCACCAGCUCUGUCACGGUAUUUUUCCAGAUGUUUCCGUCUUGAGUUGCUAUUAUAAAAAAGCACAGCACAAGUUAAACUAGGACAAGUUGGCCUAUCCUGGGGUCUGAGGAAUGUGUUUUCCACCAAAUACACUGGUCAUGUGCCACAGAAGAGUUAGAAAGAAAAACUCAGACUUCAUAAUCAGAGUGGUCCUUUCAAUUUUAAGUGUAUUUCAGAAAAAGUACCAUGCCCAGCCCCAGUAAAUUGACUCAAGACCCUAGAGCUUCUCCAAGACAUUGGUUUGGACUGCUUGUAGUAAAAUUGAUUUACGUUUUAAAAUCAGUUACCAUGAUAUUUUCUCUCAGUUUAAUUUUUGCUGGAGUUGAGGUAGAUCAAGUUUCUGUGGGCUUUUUUUUUGCCAUUUGUAUAAUACACUCAGGGGACUAAAUGCCAAUAGGCAUAGGAAGAAACCUCAGUUACUAGCAGGUAUAUCAUUUAGAUGGUUGGGCAGGGAUAGGACAAAUAAUUGGUGUUAUCAUGCCUUAUAUUCAAGUUUUGUAAGCAAGAAUUUCAUAGCAUGUUUUAACACAAAUGGCAAAAAAAAGUAAGCCCACAGAAACUUGAAGCAUUAUACAUGAAAUUUACUAAACUAGAAAUAAGGAGAAGAAGUGAAAACAGUACCCCCAAGAAAGUCCCAGAAGACUGAUAACACCAAAUGAAGGGACCCUUGCUCUACCUCAACUCCAGCCAAAUUUCACCAUGAAGACUGUCCUAAAACACAUGCCCUGAAACUUAAUGUGAUAUUAUAAAAGCAAUUUCCUGGAAAGUGACACAAUAAGCUUCUACUGAGCUGUGGCUAAAAUCUGAUACUAGAAAGAGGAAGACGGAAGAUGGAAUUAGGAAGACGUUGUGUGAAUGUUGACACACAUUCUCAGAGAUAAUGCUUAUUUUAUUAUGCAUUUCUCAUUUGGUUUGUGCUACUACUAACACAUAAUGUUAUUUACUGAGCUUGAUUUCCAAAUAGGUAAUAUCUUUUAAAAUCCAUAUAGUCCGUACAAAAAUGUAUAGAUAUGUGAAUAAAAAGACAUGUGAGAAUGUUUACAGAAUUAUUUUUUUGUAGCAAACACUGGAAAUUGUCCAAAUUUCUAUCAAUAGUAGAAUGGAUAAACUGUGGUAUAUUCAUAUAAUGAAAUGCUAUGCAGCAAUGAAAAUAAGCCAAUUCUAAUUAUACUCAUCACUAUAGAUGACUCUCGUAAACAUAAAUUUGAGUCAAAGAUGCCAUAGCAAAAGAGCCCAUAAUUUAAGAUUCCAUUUAUUUAAGUACAAAGAGCAGCCAAACCAAUCUAUUUUGUCAGGAGGUUGGAUAACCCUUGGGAGGGGUUAGUGAUUAAAAAGGAUCAGAAGGAGGGCUACUGGGGUGCUGGUCAAUUUUUUUUUAAUUUGAGUAAAGGUUACACAGUGUAUUCAGCUUAUGAAAAUUCGUUGAACACUGCCCUUAUAUGCACACUUGUCAAUAUGCAUGUUAGAGUUUAAUAUACUUGUGCAAAUGCAAACAUAUGUUCACUUAUUAAAGGGAGCAACACAGCAGAAAAAUUUAUUUAAGACAUACUAAAAGGAAAAAAACCUAGUCAGGUAUGAUGGCACACGCCUGUAGUCCCAGCUACCCAGGAGGUUGAGGCAGGAGGAUCUCUUGAGCAGAGAAUUGAGGCCAGCCUGGGCAACAUAGUGAGACCCACCUCCCUACCUCCAAUCCCUAAAAUGAAAAGAUCCUGAGUAGCCGUGGGUUUGACGUUUAAAUGGGAACAUAAUUUAUGAAUAUUUCAAUCUUAUUUUCCACUUUCAAGAGUAGGAUAUUUUCCUGAGUUACAUGUUUUAGUUAUUAUUUGACCACAGAUGCUGAAGAACUGGCGUAAAAUAUUGUUUGUUACAAGUAUGUUGAAUUGGAUUAAAAUGAAUAACAAAUGCUAUUUUUUCUUCAUAAAUAUUCCAGAUUUCUUGGAUUAAAUAUCAUCUUCUCCCUUUUUUCAAAGUCCACAAUAUUUUGUGUGUUCCUUAAUGAUGCAUAUAUUGUACUACUUUUUAUUGCAUAUAAUUUUAUAAAUCUUUGGGGUUAAGUCUCAUUCAUCUUUGAAUCUACUGUGAUAUCUGCAGAAGGCAGGUAUAUAGUGAAGUUCUUAAGAGAGUGCUUACUGAUGCUAGACAUGGGUUCUGAGGUUCUGGUUUCCUCACUGUCAUUUGCCCUUCUGUACUUCAGUUCCUUCUCUAUAAAAUGGGGACAAUUGCGGCAUCUGCUUCUUACUGUGGUAAAGAUGAAAUGAAUCAAUCGACAUAAAGCUCUGAGGACAGUUCCCGAAACAUAAUGCUCAGGAAUUGUUAGCUGCACUUUUUAGGCAUUGCAGUAUAAUUAAGAUUCUGAUAGUGAUUCCUGAAUGAGAAAAAGAAAAAAAAAUUAGAAAGACUUAGAAGUAGUGGUGAGUCAAAAGUCACAUGUAAAAAUAUAGAAUUGCUUGGUAGAGUUUCUGCCUGCUAAUUCUCCAGUACAAUUUGUUUCUCAGAUGUUCUUCAAAUAAAGUGCACUGAUCACUUGUAGUUAAAUAUAUUCAAAGUAUUAUAAAUCAUCCUGGUCAUAACCAAUUCCUAGAUUAUUUUUUGUAAAUAUUUGAUAGUCUCCUGAUUCAGUUAGGUAGGCAGGACUAUGGUAACAAAUCGACCCAAAAAAUGUAUAAUGACUGAAACACAAUAAAGGUUUAUUUCUAGCUCACGUUACAGCCCAAGUAGAUAAGACUAGUCAGCUUCCAUAUGAUGAUUCAAGAACCCAGGUUUUAUCAAUAGGUAUAACAUCCCCUAAGUCUCUUCUAUUCUUAUGUCCCGCUGACAGAAGGGAAAGAGAAUGUGGGAGGCUGCAUCCAUCUACUUCUCUUAAAAGCCAUGAUGGGAAAUAGCACACGUCACUCACUCUCAUAUUCCUUGGCUAGAUUUCACCUAAUGGCCACAUCCCGCUGAAGAGACACUGGGAAAUUUAGUGUAAGUAUGUGCCUCAGGAGAAUGAAUUGAAUUUUACAAAUAGCUGGCAGUGCUCAUCAUUAUUUAGAGGUAGACGAGGGCUGUAGUUUUACUUCCUGACAAUUCCAUUGCAAAUACAGAAGCAUCCUCAUAACAUUCCCACACAGGUAUGUCAUAGCAACCAGGCUUCAUAAUCAGAGUGCCUUUUCUGAAGCUCAUCAAAGUCCCAGGUCUCUGUCCCUGUAGGUGCUUUACUCACAGCUGACAUGAAAGGGUCCUCUGGAGAUAAACACAACACUAUUCUAGGGGCAGGACUUGGUUAAGCUUAGAGAUGGAAUCAGGCAACCAAAGUCCUGUGAAUCAUGCCUGGAUAUACCACUGUUUUGGAAUCAAGCUCAGCAACCAUUUCCAAAAACAGCUCACUUCCAAAAAGUGGCUCACCUCCUUAGCUCACUGGAUUAUUCUAGUAUUACACAUAAGAGGGAAGAAUGUCUUUAAAUUCUAUCCACUUUACAUAUUUUGAGCACCAAUAAUUUUACUAACAAAACUCUCACCUCUUAUGUCCAUUUUGCCAAUUAAAAAGCUUCUUAGGUUAGUGUGGACAUAAAAAUAAGGAAAGCGGAUCUGCAGCAGCCAACCUGGAGUGUGGCCUCUUGAUGAAAUACUAGCAACUACAGUGGACGUGCAUAUUCCUACAUAGAGCAACUAACCACCCCUCAGGUAUAGAAAGGUUACUCACACAUACAUAUCAUACCGUCUGUCCAUGCAGCAAAAUAUUAUAAAAGGUAAAUAUAGCCUUUUAUUUAAAUACCCCUCUGACAGAGAUAGUCAGUGAAGAAGGCUCCCCUAUAAUAAACCGCUUAUUUAUAAUACAGUGGCUUAGCAUGUUAUAAUUGCUUGAAAUAUGGAAUGUUGUCCGUAAGUCAAGCAGCUGUGCUGUGCUAUCAGGAGGUUGUUGUAGCUUUCUGUUUUUCCCCUGCAAAGAUUUAUAGGGGGCAAUGACUUCUUGAUUCAAUAACCCCCAGAAAAGGAAGUAAUGAAAUGUUAACAUUCUUCCUAGACUUCACUUUUGAAAAGCAUCCUGAAGCUACUGUGGGCUGAUUGAUCAUCUCAGUGGGGGUGUCCUCUGGGAGGUUUUGUACAAAAUACUCUUAGAUUGUGCAAUGAGGAGCUGCAUUUCCCCAGAACAUGAGAAAUACCUGUUGUGAAGGUUAUUCAUGUAUUUUUUUUGCAUACUCAGAAAUUCUUGUUUUUCGUGACUGUCUUUUUUUUGGUUUUGUCAUUGUUGGUGGGAUGGGGAGAAAGAGGAUCUGUUUCUCUGAAAUGAUAUUUGAAGUGAGUUUUUAGAUCCUAGAUGGAAAGUUCAUUUCUAAGUUGUGUAAUAACAUUGUUUUGAAGUUUAGCGGUGGUGUUCCACGGGGAUGCUGGAGACCACCCUACUUGUGCUUGGAGGCUGCUGUCUUCAUUCACUGUGGUUUUCACCAUGGCAAUGGGAAUAGAAUUUCAGCUCUCUGAGCUCUUCUGCAUUCUUAACUAAGCUUGCAUAAUACAGCUGAGGACAAAGCAGUUGCCUGCUGAAAGCCAAAUGAAUGCAUCAAUUUGGCCUCAAGAUUUUUGAACUGUUGUGAAAGAGUUUUUGUGUCUUGGGUUUCUUUUUUUCUUUCAAAUCACCACUAGCAAAUUUUUUCUUCAGAUGAUAUCUUUGUUAUCCAAAAUUAUGAUGUAUAAUGAAGAUAGGUAGACGGUUUUAACACAUGAUUUACAAACGACUUUCAGAGUCUAGAUAAGUCUUAAGAAUUUUUACAUUAAGCGAAAGCUUCCGUUUUAAACGUUUGUCUGGUAUUUUGUGCUGGCCAUGAUCCAACACAAGAUUAUUGCUUCUGUGACAAAAACGAUAAACUCCGUAGAACCUGGCUUACAGAUCUUACCGUAUUAUUGAAUAGCACUGAAUGGUAUUGAGUUAUUCUUUUUCUAGAUGACAGAGCUGAAAGGAAGCUAUUGUUAGAGAACAAUUUAUUUUUGAAUCGUUUCUUUUCCUUUCCUUUCACAUUAUAGUUUCCCUAACCAAAUGACAGUUUUAAUUACUGUUACCUGAAGACGUUCUGGUCAGUUUUACCCAAAUAAUUCGAUGGUUGCUUUAGGAAACAUAAAGAGCAAGUGCAUUUAUUGAACUGUCAUCAACCCUGUAUACUGUGGAAGGCAGGCAUUUGAAUCAAUAAGUACAGCUUGGCUCAGAGACAUACAAAUCCCUGAAAUUCAUCAGCAAUGAGAACAGUGGGACAACAAAGAAUGCCUAUCAGUGGUAGUCAUGCAUAGUAUCUCAGUACAUUUCAAUUUUUUUUUUUUUUUUUUGCCACAGAGUCUCACUCUGUUGUCCAGGCCGGAGUCCAGUGGUCCUAUGUGAGCUCACUGUGACCUCCACCUCCCGGGUUCAAGUGAUUCUCCUGCCUCAGCCUCCCAAGUAGCUGGGAUUACAGGCAUGGGCCAUCAUGCCUGACUAAUGUUUGUAUUUUUAGUAGAGAUAGGGUUUCACCAUGUUGGUCAGGCUGGUCUCAAACUUCUGACCUCAGGCAAUUUGCCUGCCUCGGGCUCCCAAAGUGCUGGGAUUACAGGCAUGGGCCACCACACCCAGCAGUACAUUUCAGUUUGAGCUAUGAAGUCUAUAGACAUCAGGUAUGAUGACUCAGGGAAUGUCUUGAAGGACAAAUCAUUUAGAAAUAUGAAACCAAAGGCAUUUGGCUUGUAGAUUUAGGUGAUGUCAAAGUUACCUGCUUAACCCUACAGAUUCCUCAUAUCUUAGAGUGCACUAAGGUACCUUCCCACUAUGGUGCACAGAUGGACCACUGUUUUGAUUAUUGUGAUGGCUCUUUACAAAACAUUCAGGUGGCUUUGGGUUGGAAAAAGCCACGUAAGAAGUUUUUACUUUCUUAGAGAUGACCAUUAUAGUGAAUUAAAGAAUAAUGAUAACAACACAAACCUCUCAUUCCUUCUAUUACCGUUUAAAAAGUUUUUCUGAAUUACAUUUCUGGUCAUGCUGCUGGCAGCUCCAGACUCAAUCUGCCUUCUGUUUUGGAUGUUGACAGGCAGGGUGCCAUGGUGACGGGGCAUCGGCUGUUUUUCACGGUUCGCUUAUAGUUGAACUUGACUUUUAUUUUCAAUGGCUCAAGCCAAAGCAGUUCAAAGAUGAGGAAUAAGUGUUUGUUGUUUGUUUGGUACGAAAUAGAGGAAAGCACUAUAAUGAAAAUAGAAUGGGCCCAAAUCAUGGAAGAAUGCGUUAUUUAUUAAGUCAUUUUAGUUCCCUGUAAUAAGAACUGGGAAGUCCUGGAUGUUUGUAAUUGGCUAUGUAAGCAGUAAUCCUGCAAGAUCUGUGUAAGGAUCAAAUAUUGCACUUAAUUAAAGUGAUUGUACCGGGAACUUUCUAACAUUGUUUUCAAUUUGAGGAUGAAAAGGUAUCUUCAUUGCUAUGGAAUAAUUUCCUGCCCUUCUGUUCUGAUAGUCUGGGGAAAGACUUGUGCCUGCAUUAGGGCAGUUAAGUUUAGUCUACAAAUUAGACAACCAAGAUAUUUCCAUAAAUCAAAUAGAAAUUUCAAUUUAUAUCUAACUUAAUAAAUAUACAUUAAACUCAGCUAUUUCUUAGCAUAAUUGAAUAACUUAUUCAAUGGCUUUUGACACUUUGGAGAAUGCAUAUAUGUUGUAUUUACUUAUUUUAUUUCCAUUGUAUUUCAAAAGGGAUUUGAGAUAGCUAAGUAUAAACACACUGCUUUAGACCAUGUCAGGUACAAAGAUGCAUAAGUAGUCUCUGGCAUCCAUUUUGUUUACCCAGUUAUGCAGAAGGAAAGUGAAGCAUUGAACACUGUGUUCCAGACAGCAUCUGCCACCUUCCAUUCAUUCUCAGAAGAAAAACUACCCUGUUUCUUUCCAAGAGAAUCUACUACUGUUUAUCUGACUCUAAUAAUUGUUUUUUUAAAUAUAUUCAUUGAUGACUAAUUAAAUGAGUCGACCUUUAUAACAUGGUUCUUGAAGAAACAAGUUGAUAGGUCAUAAAUUCAUUGUUAAUAAUUAUGUGCAAAGGUGUAUGUUCUGUGUACUUGUGUAUGAAUGGCUCAGUGACUAUUAAAUUGAAACACCCUUUUAAACAAAUAUUUGUUAGGUAGCAGAGCAUCACUUUCAUAGUUCAUUACAUUUAACUCCUAUCUGUGGCUUAGAGAUUUUUUCCAUUAUAGGCAGAUAUCUUCUAAAGCAUUUCUAAGUUAUUUUCCUUAGCAAAUAUCAAGUUUAUAUGACAUGACCUAAUUCUUCCUGUUUUCAGUUUCUAAGACAUUUGGCCCAUGUCCCAUUUGACACUCACCUGCGAAGGAUCAAGAACGGUUAAUGAAGAUGUUUGUGGCUGAAAGUCUGGAAAACAGAAAAGUUAAUUGCUGUAGACAAAUGCCUUAGCCUGCAUCAAGGUGAACUUUAGACUGCAGUAUGUCCAGAAGGUGGGGGUACUCAGAAGGGCUUGGUCUGGAAGAAUCGGGCUCUGCUCUGGGAAAUCUUUCUCAGGCAUAGCAUCUAUAAAAGGACUGGAGAGAUGGAGAAAAUCAUUAAUGACUUGGUCAGUGCAGAAUUUUUUUAAGUGAAAAGGGGAAACUUUGGAAUCCGAUGGAGAAAUUAAUUGUCCAUGAAACUCAAAUAAAUACAAAUUAAUACAGUGGAAGCAGUGAAGGAUACUAGCUCAAAGCUUCGUGUGGUUUGCGAAAUUCUACUAGUAGAGGAAAAUUAAAUAAAGAUAUGGCUUUAACCUAGUCAUCUGUGCUGCAAGACCAGUCUGUGUAGAGGGCAUGGUCUGGAGACCCAUGUUGGCCUAAUGACUGGCAAACAGGGUUUCCUUGGUGUGUCGAUGAUGGUGGUGAGAAAAAUUACCUUGGAUCUCAUGCAAUCCCAGAACUUACCUCUAGGCUAAAGCCUGCAUUUGAUAUUCAGCAAGUCCUAGUGGUUGCUAUUUGCUUGUCAGCAUGACCACAAAAUUGUUUGAGGUGAUUCCAUUGUUUCUAUUAAGACUUAAAAUUAAAUGGACAGUAUUUAAGAAAAUCACCCCAUACUAUUAAAUGCUUUUGUAUUAAUAAAUCCAGAUGUAUAUGGCAUUUUAAGUGUGUAUCUUCACUGAACACUGAUUCCAUUACAAUGGGUAAUUAACUAUUUUAUUCAGACUUGGGUUUUUAAGUUGAAAUCUUAAUAAGUUUAUCAAAAAUAUUGAACAACUUGAGAUAACUUAGGAUCCGUUGUGUUUGGACUUUAAUUUGUUAUAUUGACAAGAACAACUUAUGUAUGUGGUAGUGUUUGUCAUCAAACAACUGAGGCAAGGAAAUGAAAAAGAAAAUGUAUAAAUGUAAGUUUCAAAUGUUUAAGGAAUUUGAUUAAAUACAUGAGACCAGGCAUUGAUCAAAGAUUCCCUAAAAGCAAUUGUUAAUAUUUCCUGAAUUUCAAAAGAGAAUUUAAAAAUAUUUAAAUUUGGAUUUAGAAACUUUGAGAGUAUUUAUUUUGAAAAAAAUAAAUUCUAGGUAAUCCUGUUUACCAAAAGCCACACAUUGAUACUAUCCUGACACAAUUCUUCCUCAAAUAGUGUAUUGUUUAUUGGUGGGAAAAAGGCUCCUGCCUGGUUGCGGUGGCUCAUGCCUGUAAUCCCAGCACUUUGGAAGGUGAAGACAGGCGGAUCAUGAGGUCAAGAGAUCAAGACCAUCCUGCCCAACAUGGUGAAACCCUAUCUCUACUAAAAAUACAAAAAUUAGCUGGGUAUGGUGGCACGUGCCUGUAGUCCCAGCUACUCGGGAAGCUGAGACAGGAGAAUCACUGGAACCCGGAAGGCAGAGGUUGCAGUGAAUGAAGAUCGUGCCACUGCAGUCCAGCCUGGCGACAGAGCAAGACUCCAUCUAAAAAAAAAAGGCUCCCAAACAGACAGCAUUUUACAUAACAAAUGUAAAUUGUUAUAUAAAACACAUCUAACACAUUGUUAUGUCAAGCCCUGAUUGGGAAAGAGUAUAAGCCAUUUUCUAUGGCACAGGAACUCAGCUGGACCAGGGAGCAAAACUGCAUUUUGAAACCUUAUUGUCAUUUCCCAUUCAUCACGAACUCUGGUGAGCUCAGUUACAAUGCAGAAUAAUAAGUUCAUGUCAGUCACACCCAUGAGGAUGCUUUUAUGUUACCCAUUGCAAAAAUACCUUGGACAGAUUCCAUCCUUUGCUUUAGUAGGAUGAGUCCUGCAGUUAACUCAGAUUGCGUUUGGGUAAAGAGCUGUCUCUGCCCUCGAGCAGCUUGGACUAAUCUGGUGAUUCCUUCAUUAGUACUUUUACCGCAUGCCCGCUUUCACCCUGGAGCUCCCUGGAGUGCAUGCGUACUCUCUCUCUGAUGUGGCCUGUGAACAUUCCCUUAACUUGCAGCACCUACUUUUGUUAUGAGGCAGAGGUGCCUGAGAGCUUCUUCUGGUCUGUUUGUGAGACAGCUCUUUGAAAUCAGCAAGAACGUUUCUUGUCCCCUGUCCCCAGUCUGGGUUUCUGCUCAGAAGUUAUCUGUUCCUGCUGGAUGUUGGAAUGGUAGUUUGUGUAGACCACCCAGAAAAUGUUUGUCUCAUCAGGGAUUUGGGUGGAAGAUAAAAAUGUGAAAAGAGUAAAUAUUUUAGAGAACGUAAACCAGUCUGUUUCUUCUAGCACCGCUCUAUGAUUCAUCAGGCUAAUCAUUUAAAUAUUAUCCCAAAUGCUUGAUCAAAAUUGAGUAUGACAGUUUUCAAUAUGGAGCUCUUUCUUUCACAUUUUAUGAGUGAAUCUGGUUUUCUGACUCAGAUAAACAAAAGGUUGCUGACUUAUGCAAAGGUUUCAUAUAGCUCAGGAAGACUUGCUGGGUAAUGAAAUUCAAGACUGAGACAGAAGGCAAAGCUGGGAUGGAUGGAGAUAGCCUGUACUACAUGAUGUAUAAAUUAGACUGUCCAUGCCCAGGUUCACUCAUUUAGGUCAAGGAGGACAGGUAUCCACAUAUGUGUAUUACUCUUUAUUUUUAUAUAUUCUGCAUUAUCCAGCUCUCUUAUGGUUUCAUAUGCAUUAAUUAUGCUUGUAAAGAGGUUACAACUUUUUUCUGUCACUCCGAAGUACCUGUUAGAAAACCGAUCACACAGUAUUCAAAUAUUUGGUUAGUUGGCUAGUUUUAAUUUGGGGGACUAAGCAUCCAUGAAAAGGUAAAUAUUGAAUAUAUUGACUCAUUCAUUUGCACAAAUAAAUAUCAUCCUGUCCCAGGUACUGUACUAGAUGCUUAGAUGCUGUGAUGAUCAAACAGUCAAGGUCUUGGCUCCUGUAGGGUACACCAUCCAGGAGGCGUAGGGGGAGGAUCAGAACAGAGAUGGCACAGCUAAGGAUAAAAUAAGAAGUACAGAAAGCUAUAAAAUGGCUCUCAUAAAUAGCAGAGAAACCUAAAUUAGCUGGAGUGAUUAUUGAAGUCCUUGCUGGAAAAAUAACAUUGAAACCAGUAGUUCCCCAACUUUGGUGCCCAAUGGAACCAUCUAGGGAAUCUUUAAAAAACACUGCUUUUUAAAACUGGAGCUCCCACCUCCAGUUAUUAUUAUUUGUAUAGGCUGUGACCUGGUCAGUAGGAUUUUUGAAAGCUGUCUGGGUGAUGCUAAUAUGUAUCAGAGUUUGAGAGCCAGUGAUUUAGGCCGAGACCUGAAGAACGAGUCAGAAUUGAUCAGGUGAAGAAUGUUGAGGGAAUAUAGUCUUCUUGAGUUUGAAAGGGCUGUAUACCCAAGGGACUGAAAGAAGGCUUGUUUGUUGGAUCAGGGUGAAAAGCAAGGCUGUUGACUACUGACCUAAACCAGUUUGGUCAUGAACAACACUUAGAUUGAUUUUAUCAGUUAGCAAUGAAUAACUUUAAAUAUUAUAGGUACUCUUAUCACCUGGCUACUAGACUAUAAAAAAUGUAAAUUCCAAACAGAAUUCCUUUUUUUUUUUUAUUAUUAUACUUUAAGUUCUGGGGUACAUGUGAAGAUCAUGCAGGUUUGUUACAUAGGUAUACACAUGCCAUUGUGGUGGUUUGCUGCAUCCAUUGCCCUGUCAUUUACAUUAGGUAUUUCUCCUAAUGCUAUCCCUCCCCAAUCUCCCCGCCCGCUGCUAUUCCUCCCCAGCCCCCCACCCCUGCAGGCCCCAGUGUGUGAUAUUCCCAUCCCUGUGUCCCUGUGUUCUCAUUGUUCAAUACCCACUUAUGAGUGAGAACAUGUGAUGUUUGGUUUUCUGUUCUUGUGUCAGUUUGCUAAGAAUGAUGGUUUCCAGUUUCAUCCACGUUCCUGCAAAGGACAUGAACUCAUCCUUUUUUAUGGCUUCAUAGUAUUCCAUGGUAUAUAUGGGCCACAUUUUCUUUAUCCAGUCUAUCAUUGAUGGGAAUUUGGGUUGGUUCCGGGUCUUUGCUAUUGUAAACAGUGCUGCAAUAAACAUACAUAUGCAUGUGUCUUUAUAAUAGAAUGAUUUAUAAUCCUUUGGGUAUAUACCCAGUAAUGAGAUUGCUGGGUUAAAUGGUAUUUCUGUUUCUAGAUCCUCAAUGAAUCACCACACUGUCUUUCACAAUGGUUGAAUUAAUUUACACUCCCACCAACAGUGUAAAAGCAUUCCCUUUUCUCCACUUUCUCUCCAGCAUCUGUUGUCUCCUGAUCUUUUAAUGAUCGCCAUUCUAACUGGCAUGAGAUGGUAUCUCAAUGUGGUUUUGAUUUGCAUUUCUCUAAUGAUCAGCAAUAAUGAGCUUUUUUUCAUGUUUGUUGGCUACAUAAAUGUCUUCUUUUGAAAAGUGUCUCAAACAGAAUUCCACCACAUACUCAUUUAAUAAGCAGCCUUUAGCAAAGCAGGCACAAAGCAGUUCACACACUGUGUUACUUAAGCCUCACAAAGUCUCAGCUCUCUGUGCAUCCAGGUAAGCUGGCCUUGCCUUAUAGGAAAGGUUUAUUAAGGCAAAAACAACAGCAUUUAUCAGGCAUGAUUCUAGGCCUUCUAGUUGGCAUCGUAAAUCAGAAAUUUUCCCAAACCAAUGCUGGCCACAUAUCCAACUAUGUGUUAAGCCACAGGCACCAUUUCUCUAAGAGGUACAGGAUUCUAGCCUAAGGGAUACAUGAAAACAGGCCUGGCUGGAUUCUUACUUGUUUCUACAGUGGUGGGCGUAUGUCUAACAUAUUUCUACCCAUGCACAUACUUUGAAUAUCUUAAACAUCACCUAAUGAAAUUUCAUCGUUACAUCUAUCAUGCUAAUUAACAAUACACUACUUUCACCAAUGAAAACCUAAUGUUGAUUUUUAUUGGCUACUGGCAAAGUUUCUGCUCUUGACUGAUAUACAGAUGAUAAAAGGGCUUGUAGUCACUGCCUCUGGAGUGUGUCUCUUUCCGAUUGAAUGUUACCUUGCCACCCUAGUCUUGCCUCCUUUAUAGUACAUUGCCUUGAUGAACCCUGAACAUGAAAGUAUAAACAAACUGGUAUAUGCACAAUAUCACCCUGAUUACGCUGGAGUAAUUUAAAGUAAUUUACAGACUGUAACAGAAGAGUAAUGGCCACCUCAGAGCCUGGAAAGAUUGAAAAGGAGGCAAGGAUAAAAUUCUUCUUGGAUGAGAAAGCUGACGCUAAUUGACUUUCUUCUUGCCUAUUUAUAGAAUACAAAUGCUUAUAGAGAGCAAAGAAAUAAAGGAGGAAAUGGAGAGCUGCUUGAAUGUUCACUUUUAUAAACCAGCAAAUGCUUCAUUGUCUAGCUCUGUGAAUGGCUUGAAUUGCCACUUUAAAGCAUUGCUUCUUCCGUAUCUCACACAAUGUAUCGAUCCCCAAUUUUCCCUAUUUCUCAAUAUCUGGAGCUUUAAAUAUUCGUCAGAAAACUCUUGAUACAAUUAUUAAAUUAUGUUGUUAUCGUCCUGGGUCACUGUGUAUCCGGUUGAGAGAAUUCCUUCGGGGACCCUUUGGUGCUUUUUUCAGUAAUGAGGUUACAUUUUUGAUCAAGAGAAAAAUCAAGGUGAGGACUUGAGUACUGCGGGAGUCACAGCCCUAACCUCUAGCAGACUGUGAGAGAUACUUUCCCACAGCCAGUUCAAAAGACAAGGCAGGGAUUUUGAAAUCUGUGUUUGACAUCUUUUUGACACGACUAGAUUACAUAGAUUCAGCUGCUGGCUACGCCUUUAUGCCAUUCUCAAUAGCAGAGAUAUUUAUGAAGCCUUCUCCAUUUCCAGCUACUCUUUUGCUUUUGUUGCUGGAGGAUUAGUUUGCCUUCAUAGCAGAUCAUUUUUAGGGUUGCUUUUCAUGAGUCAGCAUUUUCUAUGCUCUUUUAUGUUACAGAUGGAGCCUGUGAUCCUGGUCUGUAUUUGUGUUGUCAAUAGAAAUAUAGGUUGUUGGGAGGCCAAGGCGGGUGGAUCACGAGGUCAAGAGAUCGAGACCAUCCUGGUCAACAUGGUGAAACCCCGUCUCUACUAAAAAUACAAAAGAUUAGCUGGGCAUGGUGGCACGUGCCUGUAAUCCCAGCUACUCAGGAGGCUGAGGCAGGAGAAUUGCCUGAGCCCAGGAGGCGGAGGUUGUGGUGAGCAGAGAUCGCACCAUUGCAUUCCACCCUGGGUAACGAGCGAAACUUAGUCUCAAAAAAAAACAAAAAAAGAAAUAUAGUUUGAACUACAUAUGCCAUUUUAAAUUUUCUUGGAGCUAAAUUUCUACAUUUAAAAAAGCAAAAAGGGCUAGGCACAGUGGCUCAUGACUAUAAUCCUACCACUGUGUGAGGCCAGGACUCGAGGAUCACUUCAGGCCAGAAGUUAAAGACCAGCCUGACCCACAUAGCAAGAUUUCUGUCUCCACAAAAAAAUUGCAGAAAUAUUAGCCAGGCAUGGUGGCGCAUGCCGAUAGUGCCAGCUACUCAGUAGGCUUAGGUGGGAGGAUUGCCUGGGUCCAGGAGUUCAGGGCUACAGGGAGCCAUGACUGUGCCACUGCACUCCAGCCUGGGUGACAGAGCAAGAACGCACCUCAAAAAAUAAUAAUAAAAUAAACAUUUAAUUAAUGAAAAUAAAAAAGCAAAAGAGAUAUGAAAUUAACUUUAAUAAUAUAUUUUAUAGAAAUCAAUGUAUCAAAAAUAUUGUUCUUCUAACAUGCAAUCAGUGCAAAAAUUAUUAUGAGGUAUUUUACCUUCUUGUUUUCAUAUAAAGUCUUUGUAGUUGGUGUGUCUUUUAUACUUCUCCAACACAUUUUGAGUUGUAAUAGCCACAUUUCCAUUCCUCAAUAGCCACAUGUGGUUAGUGGCUACUAUAUUGGACAGUACACAUCUGUUUAAGAGUACUAAGAAAUGUGUUAUCUAAAUAACCCAUUGUUCAUUCUGUAAAGCAUAUUCCUGGAUCAUUCCCUAUCUUCCUAGUGGUUUUUGUGACCAAGGCACCUACUGUUGAGAUGACAGGCUUAGGACAUUACUGGAGGACAGCUAAUUGGCUUUUUGAAAUUCAAACAUGUGAAAGUCUUUAGUUCCAUGCUCUAGCCAUGUUGGUUAAUUGUUGACAGUGUUAUAAAAAUGAUAGAAAUAGACUGAUUGCUGAUAGUAGUAGAGCACUGGUAAGUCAGGAAAGGUGUGAGAAUGAGUAAGCAGUAGAACUCAUGGUACUUUUGUGAAACCUAAAUUUUAAAAACUCAGAAGAAAAAGGCUGAGCAUGUGUAUCUCCAGAAAGCUCAUGAAUACUCAUGCUGCUUAUUUUUCUGCUUCAGCACCAGCCUAGUAAUGACUACUGGAAAGAACAGGACACAAAUGAUAGAAGAUGCCCCCUUCCCCACUCCUUAUUGAAUCUGACAGCAUGAGACAGUGAGGUCGUCAUCUCCCACUGUUGAUUCCAAGUCUCCCUCAUCUGUAUCAUCAUGAAGCUGAGGAAUUUCCCCUCUUAAGUGGAAACAGUAAACUCUCAGUUUUGUUUUGUUUUUUUGUUUUUUGAGACAAGGAGUUUCGCUCUUGUUACCCAGGCUGGAGUGCAAUGGCGCAAUCUCGGCUCACCACAACCUCUGCCUCCUGGGUUCAGGCAAUUCUCCUGCCUCAGCCUCCCGAGUAGCUAGGACUACAGGCGCUCACCACCAUGCCCAGCUAAUUUUUUUUUUUUUGUAUUUUUAGUAGAGACGGGGUUUCACCACGUUGACCAGGAUGGUCUCAAUCUCUUGACCUCGUGAUCCACCCACCUCGGCCUCCCAAAGUGCUGGGAUUACAAGCAUGAGCCACCGCGCCCGGUGAACUCUCAGUUUUAAAGGAGAGAGACAGAGAGGGAGGAACAAACUGUUCUUGUUUUUCUUCCUGCCUAGCCCUUACUUUCAUUGUUAUGUAAGAGGUUCAUGCCAAUGAUUUUGGUGCCUGUGUGUGCAUUUCUAAAAAUUAAAAAAGACGUUGUAAAAUCACCACCCAAAGUCCACGUCACAGGAUUUCAGGGGUUCUGUAACUGUUACACUUAGACCACUGAGUGUGUCUACUGUGGGUAUUCGUAGUUAUGCUCGACAUAAUCAUGAGACUGCAAUUUGAUGUCACAUAAGCUCUAUAAAGGAAUAACUUGAAUUUCUAUAUGUUAAUAUAGGAUGGCUUGCUGUAUGGUUUUAAUUAUCAUUUUCUCUAAUACUUUGUUUAUUUCUUUGGUGAUUCAGCUUAAACAUAGUCGAAACUGGUACUUAGUAAUGAAAAGGAAUGGAAACGGUUUAGAAUAGACACAGUAGUUGAUACUAACAGGCAUUUUGGUGCUGGGAAGAUAUAGGAGGAUAUUACUAAUAUUUAUCAUUCUUACAAUAGUCUGAAACGUCUGAAAGCCAUUCCCUCUAACACAGCACUGUCCACAGCACUGUCUGCAAAUGAUGAAAAUGUCUCCUGUCUGUGUUAACUAGUAAGGAAGCCAACGGCCACAUGUGGUAUUGGACAUGAAAAAUGUGACUUGUAUGCCUCUGAAACCAAAACCUGAUUAUUUUCUAAGGAUUUACAUUUCUGUUGAACUCACAUCAAUGUUUUUUCCAAGUUAGUAUCGACAACAAAUACCAGUGUGAAGUGAAAGUGUGCUGAGGCGCACAUUACUGCCACCCUUCAUUUUAAAUUUGGCUAUUAAUAAUUUUCACCUUAUUUAGGCCUGGGUUUUUGGCCUAAGUAAGGUUUUAUGAAUUUUCUUACUUAACUGUGGUAGUCGAAGUUUUCUGAUCUUGGAGCCGCUUCAGCUUUUUUGAGGUGCCGAUGAGGACAGAACUUAUCUUGCCUCAAAUGUAAGAGGCAAUAUUAGUCAGAACAUUUUGGUUUCUCAGUGAAUUUCUUUGCUUUCUACAGCUUGAUCUUUAGAGAACACUAUCCUUUCAAUCCCCAUGCUUCUCCCACUUUUGCAAACAAGAGUUCACAAUUCUUGUCCUGAUUUGCCAAUUUUGUUACCCUAAAUUUCCAAUUAAGAUAUACCUACAUAAGUGUUGUGAUAGGAGUUUAGAAAGAACUUGUUCAACUCUUGCUUCCCAGUUUUUCUCUUUCCUAAUUAUCAUUUUUCUUCUCUAAUAAAUGCUAAUUAAACUACUUUUCUUGCUGGUUUAGAGCCUUCUGUUUUAAUAUUCUUCUGUCUAGAGGCUAAGUUUAGUUUUUCCUCUGAAUUCUUCAGACCAUUUUAAACAGGAAUGAACAUGUAAAACCACUUUAGACUGAGGUUUCUUAUUUUCUCAACAAGAUAGCUUCAAUUACUAUAGAUAUGUGUUCAUAUAUUUUAAUAGAAGUCACAGAAAAAACCAGAUUGACCCUAUGCUCUUUUGACCUACAAACAUAUAUGUUGAAACUUUGAAAGCCCCUUUUCUGGUGUCUGAAUAACCACAGGGUUUUUAAAACUUGAAUUCCUGCAUGAAUCAUUGGCUCUAGGAAAGACUUGGAGUUGUAGGGUAGGCUGGUCACACUUAUGUCAAAGGAUUAUAAAAUGUACUCUGCUGUUCUAGAGCAGCAAUCCCCAAAGCAAUCCCCAACUUUCUGGCACUAGGGACCUGUUUUGUGGAAGACAAUUUUUCCAUGGACAGGGAGGCAUAGUGGGGGAUGGUUUUGGGAUGAAACUGUUCCACUUCAGAUCCUUAGGCAUUAGUUUGAUUCUUAUAAGGAAUGCACAGCCUAGAUCCAUUGCAUGCACAGUUCACAAUAAGGUUUAUGCUCCUAUGAGAAUCUGAUGCCACUGUUGAUCUGACAGGAGGCAGAGCUCAGGCAGUAAUGCUCACUUGCCCACUGCUCACCUCUUGCUCUGCGGCCCAGUUCCUAACAGGCCAGGGACUGGUAGUGGUCUGUAGCCCAGGGAAUGGGGAACCCCUGUUUUAGAGGCUGGUGGCACUUGGUUAAAUCCAAUAAAUUUACAAUAUCCAAGAAGACAGACUAGUGCUACCGAAGCUUUCCAGUUGCAGAGUCACCUCAAAUUUGGGCUAGUGAAGACUGAAGCCGCUUCCGUUGCUCUGCCCUUUGCAGAAAGGCUGUAUUCCUUAGGCAGUUGAGAAAUACACGUUUUGGGAAAUACAUCUUUCUUACUAUUUGGUAAAUUAAAGAAUGAGCCUCACAGGCCAGGUCCGGAGAACUCAGUGCUAGAAUGUUUAAUAACUUUGUCCUUCAAAGAGCUCAAAGAAAUUGACUGUUCUUUCUUAAAUCUUCAUAUAACAUCCAUGAAGUUCCUUAGGAGAUUUUAUAAUUUUAUUUUUUUGUUGCAUUGAGCCUGUUCAGAAACUCAGUAGGAAAAUGGGUUCAGGAGAAGCAGCCCUGGUUGAAAUGGGGUUUGCCUCCGAAGUCCUUCCUUCUUCUCUUUCCUUGAUGAUGUUGUGUCCGUAUGUCCUUGGGGGAGUGCCCGUGGAAUACACCCUGAAGACUGGCCAAAAGCAUCACUAAAGAUGUGUGAUGAACAAAAGUUUGGUUGAGAUGCUGCCUCCACCCCAAAACAGUUUAUGUCAUUCUAAUGCUGCUCAGCAGAGUUACUGCGUUUGUCUCUCUCUACACAAACAAACGCACGUGCGCGCGCACACACAAACACACACACACUCUCACUCUGAGUUUCCUAGAUCCCAAAAUAAUUCAUUAGUUAAGGCUCUAAAUACAUGGUAAUUUCAGAAUAGAUUGGGCCUUUCUGAGUUACACCCCUCCCCAAUGAAAGGGAGACAAUGGAAAUUAUUCUACUCACCAGGAGCUCCUGGAAAUAGAGUUUAUGUGGAAAUACAAACAUCACAGUAACGGUCUGUGCAUUGAGAGAGGAGAAACUCAACAGAUGUAGAAACGAAAAGAGGAGAACAAGUGGCCAAAUCCGGAGGUGCCAGAGGAAAGAGGGAUAUAUGACCUCACUUUACCUUCGUCAUGGAUGACUUACAAGGAUUAAUUAAGUAAAAGUCGGUAAAUGUCUUGAAGCUCUUUGGAGAAAGAAGCUAUUUAAAUAUAAAUUACGAUCAUGCAGCUUACAUCUCACAUGUCAGGCAUGCAUGGUUAACUGUGUCUGAUGUGUAAGUUACGCUUCCUCCGGGUUACAGCCAUGAGGAUCCCGGAUCCACCUCCCUUCUUUGACACAGUGGUAAGACAGAGAUUGAUGGUGUUAUAUGUGGCAUCCGAGUCCAGGGCAUCUGAGCUGUGAUGUUGUGCUUGGAGAAACCAGAGCCUCUAUCUGAGCCUCUUCUUGGGCAUUUUCUUAAGACAUUUGAGGAUGGAGUGGGAAACAGAAGUUAGUAAACUGAGAAAAUCUUUUUUUUUUCAAUUUACUUUAUUAACGUAUUGCCUAAGAGGGUAAAACAAAUUAAAUGAGAGAAGAAUAUAUUUUUAACCAGAUGUUUUAGUUUCCUAGGGCUGCUAUGAAAAAGGACCACCAAGCAUGAGACUUAAAACAACAGAAAUAUAUUCUCUCACAGUUCUGAAGGGCAGAAGUCUAAAAUAAAGGUGUUGGCCUCUUCUAGCUUCUGGUUGCCCUAGGCAUUCCUUGACUUAUGGCAGCCUUCACUGUGACUCCAAACUCUGCGUGUGUGUACGUGCGCGUGUGUAUGUAUGUGUAGGUGUAUGUGUGUGUAUGUAUAUGUGUGUAUGUGUGUGUAUAUGUGUGUAUGUGUGUAUGUAUAUGUGUAUGUGUGUAUGUGUGCGUAUGUGUGUGUAUGUGUAUAUGUGUGUAUGUAUGUGUGUAUGUAUGUGUGUAUAUGUGUGUAUGUAUGUGUAUGUGUGUGUAUAUGUGUGUGUGUGUGUCUUCACCUGCCUGUCUUCCUGUCUUCUUUUUUUUUCCCUUUCCCUUUCCCUUUGCCUUUCCUUCCUUCUUCCUUCCUUCCUUCUCUCUUCUCUUCUCCUUCCUUCCUUCCCUCCCUCCCUCCCUCCCUCCCUCUCUCCCUUCCUUCCCUCCCUCCCUCCCUCCCUCCCUUCCUUCCUUCCUUCCUUCCUUCCUUCCUUCCUUCCUUCCUUCCUUCCUUCAUUCCUUCCUUCUCUUUCUCAUUCUGUCACCCCAGGCUAAAGUACAGUGGCACAAUCACAGUUUGUUGCAGCUGUGACUUAUUUGGCUCAAGUGAUCUUCCCACCUCAGCCUCCCAAAUAGCUGGGACCACAGGUGCACACCACCACAUUUGGCUAAUUUUUGUAUUUUUUUGUAGAGAUGGUGUCUUGCUAUGUUUCCCAGACCAGUCUUUAACUCCUGGGCUCAAACAAUCCUCCUGCCUUGGCCUCCUUAAAGUGCUGGGAUUACAGGCAUGAGCCACAGCACCCGGCCUGGCUGUCUUCUUAUAAGGACACCAGUCAUAUUAGAGUAAGGACCUAGCCUUCUCCAGUGUGAUUUCAUCUUAUCUAAUGACAUCUGCAACAACCUCAUUUCCAAAUAAGUUGCCAUUCUGAGGUACCGGGGAUUAGGACCUUAAUAUACCUCUUUUUUGGAGAUAGGAGGAUGCAGUUUAGCCCAUAACACCAGGUUAGGAUAGUUUUCAAAAUUAUGGAGGAGCCGAACCUUGCCCUUAUGUAAAAUAUCGGGUGCAGUCCCAUCAGAAAGCAGGUAGAGCAGCCCUGCCCUGCUGGGAGCAGCAGUGGAGGGCAGCCCCUGUGCUCUGCACCCCUGCCAGCUCACCUUGUUCCAUCCCACCUGGGAACAUGUUCUUUAGAUGCCACAGAGACACCCACACACCCCACAGGGCUUCAAGGGUCACAGCAGAAAAAGCUGCAAAACUAGAUGUUCCAUUGGCUUCCUUAAUCAAAUAACACCCUAUGCCUUUAUAACAGGCAGCUUUAAGGAAUGCAAACUCUGAAAAUAGUCUGUUUAUAAGGCUUGUUGGAGAGCAAUUGCAUUUCCUCUGUUUGUUGGUUUUAACAUAAAGGAAAUAGAAUCUACUGAAAGCAGACUUUUUCCAGUGUCACCUUAGCACUGCCACCAGCACCCAUUCAGAUUUGGGUGCUACAACAGACUGAGGGCUGAUUUUUCCCCUCUAUAUGUUCACGUCCAUGGAGAAUGGUAGCAUACACCUCACCCUCUAGCAUCUAACUCCCUCCUUUCAUAAAGAUUGGGAAAGUGGGAAAUUCAUUCUUGGAAAGACUGAAACAGAGGGAGUCACAGCCAGUCCUGCUUAGCAGCACAAGUUCCACCCACAAAACCAAUUGACUCCACAGCAGAAACCCUGACUGAGGUCCACGCCGCCUCCCGCCCGGAGUGAUGGAACUCUUGGGAACAGUUGCCCAGGCUCCUGGGAGGAAUGCCGACUUGCUUAUCAGUCUCUGUGAGGCUGUGAUCUCCCUGGCAAGGAGAAUUAUAUUCUUUAGAUAACUAGAUCCAAGAAGAGGAGGCUCUGGGAAAGAGUACACAAAGCUGCCCAGGGGGAAAAGUCCUGAUGAUAACUCCACAAAAGGCAGCUUUAAAUGGUCUCAGCUGAUCCAUAUUUUUAGAAAAUUGUUUUUACUCUGCCUGCCUGACUGUAAUACUAUUGACAGAAACAGCAAUGAAAGUGAGAUAAACAUGAUGUUGUGAUCUUUCUUUUUAUGCCUCCCAUGAAGCCCUGGGUAGUAUAAUUUGUGCUUGACAACCUUUGAUUAGCAGCUGCUCAUUCUGCUGAGGAAAGGAGGCGUUUAUCUGAGACACUGUUCUCCCUUCAUAAAUAAGCUAGAAAUUUGCCACUGGUAAUAGUUUCCCAGAGGAAGCCAGGUCUGACCCUCCUCUUUCACACCUCUGGACACUUCUGUUUGCAGCCCUGUGGGAAGGGGCAGUGGGGAGUCCAUGGGGCCAAUUGGGGAAGUCUGUGUCUCACUCUUAGGGCAGCGCUGGGUGACCCCAGAACUUUUUGAAUGUGAUAUGGUCUGUGCCAGGCAGAUCAAGUACUUUCUUCUUUUCUCUGUGACAGUGUGGUGCUGCAGAGAACGCUUUGGACUGAGCAACAAAAGAUUUCAUUCCAUUUCUGAUUCUUUUACUCACUGUGACUUUGAGCAUGCCAUCUAAUCUCUUUGAUCUGCAGCCUAGAUUCAUUCUUCUCAAACCAAGCUAUCCAUGUACUUAAAGAGAAAUGGCUCCAGAUACGUGAAGCCACAGGAUAAACCCAAAAUAUCUUCUAAGAGCAUCAAUUUUACUCCAUCGUUCUGAAGAAAGCAUUUUUAUGUGAGAAACAAGGCUACCCAUGGAGUAGAAUGGAGAACUUCACAAUAAUUUUUCAGUAGGUUCAAGGAAAACCUGCUUCAGAGAAGUGAUAACUAAAGUAUGAGUUCACCGCUCUCUGUUUUUAGGAAUAUUGUCAUGUCAGAAAGUUUGAGAAGCACUAGAUUAGGUCAUCUUGAGGCUGCCUUUCUACUCUUAUAUUUGGGGAUUCAACAAUAAACCUGUUUUGGGCUGAACAUUGCCCCCUACAAGUUCAAACGUUGAAACCCUAACCCCCAGCACCUCAGAAUGUGACUAUGUGGAAAUAGGACCUUGAUGAAGUUAAAACAAGGCUGUUAAGGUGAGUCCUAAUCUAAUCUGACAGGUGUCUUCAUCGCAAGAGGAAAUUUGGUGCUAGGUGGAGUGGCUCACACUUGUAAACUCAAUAAUUUAGAAGGCUCAGUCAGGAGGAUCGCUUGAGGCCAGGAGUUUCAAAUCAGCCUGGGAAACAUAGGAAGAAAUAUGUUGAUAAAAUAUACCUUAAAACAGAUUGAAAAAAAAAAAACUAGCUGAGUGUGGUGGCAUAUGCUUGUAGUCCCAGCUAUUUGGGAGGCAGAGGCCAGAGGAUCACUUGAGCCCAGGAUUUCAAGGCUGCAGUGAGCCAGGAUCAGGCCACUCUACUCCAACCUGGGAGGCACAGAGAGACUCCAUCUCCAUAGAAUAAAAAAGAAAAGGAAAUUUGGACUUACAUUAGGGAUGCCUGCUUUACAGAGGAAAGACCAUGUGAUAAAUGGCUAUCUCAAAGCCGAGAAGAUCACAAGAAACCCAACCUGUGUACACCUUGAUCUAGGACUUCUAAGCCUCAAGAACAGGAAUAAAUAAAUGCAUACAUAAACGAAUGAAUGAAUGAAUGUUGUUUGGGCCACCCGGUCUGUGGUGUUUUGUGAUUGCAGACUUAGCAGACAACAGGAACGGGUUCCCUUUGCCUACUACAUAAAGGCCAACGUCCUUGGCCCAGAAUUAAUGACCUUCUGCAAGGGUCAUUGACCCCAUCCUCACCAUUUAGCCACCACUGCCCUCUACUCCCUUAAUUCCUAACCUGCUCUGUUUUCAUGUUGUGCCUGCCCAUCACCAGGCCUAUUCCCUUCACCUGAGAUGAUUACGUGUCUACUUCUCAAAACGCACUCAUCCCUAACCACCUCCUUCCCCUCAGGUCCAGCCUAAAAUGAACGGACUUAACUGGUAACUGCUGGUUUUGCUGCUAAAUGACACAAGGAUAGCCUUGACUUUGGGUUGUCUCUGCGUUACUCUUCUUCCUCUCAGAUGCCAGAGUGAAUAGACCACUUCUUCCGUGUUUUAAAAGUUCGUUUCCACAGCAAGACGUCCCAUGCUUGACAUAGAGUCAAGCCCACCAGCUCAGUGCAUGAAACAGAGAUCAAUCGAUAUUGUUUUCUCUGCCAAAUAUGUUUUUAAAUAUACAGUCAUUCCUUAUUGUCCUUGGGGGAUUGGUUCCAGGACCCUUCUUAGAUAUCAACACCUGCAGAUGCUCAAGUCCUUCAUAUAAAAUGUUACAGUAUUUGCAUAUGACCUAUGCACACUUCCUGUAUAGAUGAAAUCACCUCUAGAUUACUCGUAAUACCUAAUACAGUGUAAAUGCAAUGUAAUGGUUGUUACAGUGUAUUGUCUAGGGAAUAACAACAAGGAAAAGAAGUUUGUGUUCAAUGUGGAUGUAACUUUUUUUCCAAAUAUUUUUGAUCCAUUGCUGGUGAAUUCAUGGAUUCAGAACCCAUGGAUUCAGAGGGCUGAUUCUAUCUUAUAAAUAUAUUUUACACAUAUAUAUCUCUUAUAUAUAACUACAUUUUAAACAAUACCUUAAAAGAUAUAUCUCAUAUUUUGAUUCAUAUGUAUACAACUGGUGUUCACGUUUUUGUUUGUGGAAAAUUCAUACUGAGAUAAUUAAAAUAUCAGGCUAAAAAUGAGUAUUCCUGCUUCUACCCUCUGCUAGUUCUGCAAUGUGUAGUGCAGCAUUUGCCAACCCCCGGCUCUUUUUUUGAGAUGGAGUUUCGCUCUUGUUGCCUGGAGUGCAAUGGGGUGAUCUUGGCUCACUGCAACUUCUGUCUCCCAGGUUCAGCUGAUUCUCUGCCUCAGCCUCCCAAGUACCUGGGAUUAGAGGUGCCUGCCACCAUACCUGGCUAAUUUUGUAUUUUUAAUAGAGACAGAGUUUCACUAUCUUGGCCAAGCUGGUCUCGAACUCCUGACUUCAGGUGAUCCACCUGCCUUGGCCUCCCAAAGCGCUAGGAUUACAGGCAUGAGCCACCACACCCAGCCACUUUUACCAAUUUUGAAGUCUGUUUUUUGUUUUGUUUUGUUUUGUUUUACUGUGCUGGUUGGAUAAUCUAUUUGAAAAUAUAUAAGUCAUUGUGACUGCUUGUGGUAGUAUUUUAAUACUUUUUCCUUUGUAAAAUACUUUAUAAUCAUAUUUCAAGGUAUGUUUUUAUAUCUUUUAAUAUUUGGAAAAAACGCUAAAGACAGAUGUGGUGAUUUAAAUCGAGUCAAAGUGGAAAAAAAGUAUUGAACUGACUGGAAACAAAAUUCUCAAGCACUUUCAAAGCUUGCUUGGGACUGAUCAGUACAUCGCAGAUGGAAAAGUCAAAAGUUUCAGUUCUCCUUGACAUUUCAAGAGAGAAAGAAAACAGGAAAAUCAUGAUAUCUGUCUUGAAAGAAAUUGCUUUCAAACUGCUCUCUGUCAGCUAUUCCAGAUGGCUUUGCUGUUUCUUAGCAGAAGUGAAGGUAUUUUUAAAAGACCUGAGGAAAAUAGAUGAGGUUCUUCUUUCCUGAUGUCCCAGAAGGAGGAUGAAGGGAAAACUAUUUUUAAGGAAUUGUUUCUUUUGAGUGAGUUGGCCACCUGUACCACCGUACUGAUGGUGCAUAUCAGCAAUCUCAUGAUACAUUCAUAUCCUCUCACUUUUAGUGAUGAAAAAGUUGCUAUAUGAGUAUAAAUAGUGAAAACAGUAUGUAUCCUAAGCUGAAAAGUUGGCAGAAGUUAGUAAAUGCCUGUUAUAAAUGGCUUAUAUAUUUAAAAUAUAUGGUAUAUAAUUUGUAUAUGUUACAUUCCUAACAAUAACAAAAUAAGCUACAUAUGUAAUUUGUAGAUCGAAAUUAUACAUGAGGUUGUAGAUGAUUAUACCUAAGGUUUGGUACACACAUACGUAUGUAUAUGUAUGUUUUAUAAAUCUUUACAUAAAUGCUUACAAUCCUUAAAACAGCUCUGUGAUAUGGAUUUUAUGCCUUCUUAUUGAUGAGGAAACACACUCAGAGGAAGGCAAGAAAGUUGCCCAUGAUCACAAAGCCAGAGGGGAACACAGCCAUACUUCUGAGGCCAUCCUUUCAUUACCAUACAACACUGCAGUAGUGUUUGUGAAAUUCUUAGGGUGUUUGGUUCACUGUGGCAUCACAGUCAGUAGUAAAGACCUGGAUUCAGGCCAGACAUGGUGGCUCAUGACUGUAAUUCGAGCACUUUGGGAAGCCGAGGCAAGCAGAUCACGAGGUAAGGAGUUCGAGACCAGCCUGGUCAACGUGGUGAAACCGCAUCUCUACUAAAAAUACAAAAAUUAGCCCAGUGCAGUGGUGCACAUCUGUAGUCCCAGCUACUUGGGAGGCUGAGGCAGAAAAAUCUCUUGACACUGGGAGGUGGAGUUUGCAAUGAGCUGAAGUCGGGCUGCCACUGCACUCCAGCCUAGACGACAGAACAAGACUCAGUCUGAAGAAAAAAAAAAAAGACCUGGAUUCAAGUCUGUCCUGUAGUGUGUCAAAACAAAAAUCCAUGCAAUUGCAUGCUUUAAUUUUCCUGUUUGCAAGCUAGGAAUAAGUAGUAUUUGCCAUCAGAAUAUCUAGGACUUAAAGAAAUGUGCUAUAUUAAGGCAUGAUAUACUUAUUUUCAUUAGGACUUGGGCUUUUCACUUGAAACUUUCUGCAUUACUGUUUUUGGAUUGGAUUUUUAAAGUUUUUAUUUGUAUGCAUUUAGGAGUACACAGUGUGUCCCACGGAUGUGUGUGUAGCGGGGAAGUCCCAGCUUUUAGUGUCCCCAUCACCUGAAUACUGCACAUUGUACCUGACAGGUGACAUUUCAUCUCUCACUUGCUUCUCACUCUGUAUUACAUUUUGAAAGUUUGUCCUGGCCAGGCACAGUGGCUCACACCUGUAAUCCCAACACUUUGGGAGGCUGAGGCAGGUGGAUCACAAGGUCAGGGGUUUGAGACCAGUCUGGCCAACAUAGUGAAACCCCGUCCUAAUAAAAAUACAAAAAAUUAGCCAGGUGUGGUGGUGUGCACCUGGUAAUCCCAGCUUCUAGGGAGGCCAAGGAAGGAGAAUCGCAUGAACCCAGGAGGCAGAGGUUGCAGUGAGCUGAGAUCACACCAUUGCACUCCAACCUGGGCAACAGUGCAAGACUCGGUCUCAAAAAAAAAAAUGGUUUGUUUUCUUUGUCCUUUAUUUUUAGAGACAGCAUCUCAUUCUGUCUCCCAGGACGGAGUGCAGUGGUGCAGUCAUAGCUCACUGCAGCCUUGAACCCCUGGGCUUAAGCAAUUCUCCUGCCUCAGCCUCCUGAGUAGUUGGGACUACAGGCAUGUACCACCAUGCAUGGCUAAUGUUUUUCUUUUUUAAGAGAAGGAGUCUUGCUGUGUUGCCCAGGCUGGUACUGUUUCUAUUUAUCUGUGUAAGAGGCUUCAGUUGGCUCACUGUGGGAGGACAUACUACACAGGGCCUAUCUCAAUUUGGAGAAAGUCUUUCUUUCUUCUCCAUGUCAUCACAUGCAGAUUUUACUAUCUUUUAAAAAUAUGUCUUACAUUCUACUCUGCUGUUGGUGUGGGGCUCCUGAUUUACUUAAGAACCUUAGAAAUAUCUAAGAAGAGGAAUUACUUCUUACCCAAACUAAUUUUUUAAAAGUUAAGUAGAAAUGAAUGAAGAUAGUUGGAAAUCUGUUGGUGCUUGGGCUCUUGUUGUGUUGGUUAAGGGCACUUGUGGAGAGAAAGGUUUAACUCUUCCUCCUAAAUACUGUUAUGUUAGAACUGAAAUGAGUUUCUGAAAUAGAACUUAUAGGAGAGAAGCUGAAGUGAAAGCCCCAGGGAACUCAUCACUCCUUUGGAGGAUUUCUCUACCUGAGUUCUGCACUGUCUUGGGUAAUUUUAUGAUAUUAGUAUAUAAAAACUAAGGAGCCAAGCCUGUGGUCUCAGUACUUUGGGAACCCGAGGCGGGUGGAUCACGGGGUCAACAGAUCGAGACCAUCCUGGUCAAUAUAGUGAAACCCCGUCUCUACUAAAAAUACAAAAAAAUUAGCUGGGCAUAGUGGCACAUGCCUGUAAUCCCAGCUACUCGGGAGGCUGAGGCAGGAGAAUUGCCUGAACCCAGGAGGCGGAGGUUGUGGUGAGCCGAAAUCGCGCCAUUGCACUCCAGCCGGGGUAACAAGAGCGAAACUCCAUCACACACACACACAAAAACUAAGGAGGGAGGUGGUUUUCCUCAGAUAGUUUGCCCUCUCUGUGUGUGCUUCUCCCGAGUGAUCUCCUAUAGCACAUCUUCCUUUCAUAUGCAAACAUACCAUGCCACCGUCUGUGGCACACUGGGUAAUUGGUGUGCAUCGCUCUGAUGCUCACACCAUCCCCAACAGUUGCAGGUGGCUUUGUUCACACUUGCCCCGAGAGAAACGCUGAGUUUCAAAACAAGUGGCCUGCCUAGGCCACACUCACCAGUGCAGAGGCUGGCUCCACACCAGUGGCUCUCUGGCUCCAAAGCUUCCAGCCCUUCCCCUACAGCACGCUCCCAGUUCAGGACCCCAUUUGAGUUAAAACCUGGCCAUGCUUCUUCUUUAUACUUUUUGGCCUUAGGUAAUGAUUAUAAGAUAAUAAAUUACUAUUUCUCAUGGCCAUAUGAGAAGGUGCAUUUCCUGGGUUCCUUCUUCUCAACCCACAAGCCCACUCUUCCUUUCUUCCCAGGGAGUUUGGUUACUCACACCCCACUAGUUCACUACUCAUCAGCCCCUCCCCUGAGGUCAUGGGAUCCAGUGUAGAAGCUGUGUAUGAAUUAGCAUGACAAACAAUGUAGUUCCACAUAUGAUCUGCACCGAAUUGGGGCAACUUGGUUCUACCGUUGUCUCCAUUCAAACAGGAUGCACCCCCUAACUCGGCUCCCGUUCUUGCAAGAGACAGUGUAUUUAUUUCAGGAGUCUCUUCUCCAGCUAACUCUGACUAUGCAUGGCUUGGCUUGGCUUGCAGUCCCAUCACAAAGUCCCUCAUAUUAGCUCACCCAGAAUCCCUGAGAGUAUUGAACAAUGAGUGCAUUCCAUAAAAAAGAUGUUAUUUCCCAAGCACAGAGUAAAUCACUCUACAAGCCUGCAGGAAGGAGACCGUGGACUGGGGCUCUAGCAGGAAUCACAGGUCUGUACAGAAGUCGGGGGAAAGCUUGGCGGUGGCCAGGGAUGCCAUUCGACUUCAUGAUGCCAAGGUGUGUUGCCUGUGAGACUUCAAAACCCAUGGCAUCAUCUGCCCUGCACUUCAGUGGAAGUUUUGGAAAUCUCUCCCACAGCCCUGCGCAUCCUGAUGUAAUGAUGGUGCGCUUUGUUUUCAUAAAGUCACGGUUAUAUAAACAAAAAUAAAGGUUCAAAGUGUCACCUCCGCUUCCUCAUAAUUUCAUAAGAGGGAAGCUGCUUCUACAUGCUCUGCCACUGUGCUGGGAUUUUGAAGGCAUUUUCUCCAAUGUUGUCAGUAACUCUGUGAAGAAGCAUUGGGAUAUCCAUGUUGAUGUGAUUUGAAUGCUUGUCCCUUCUAAAUCUCAUGGUGAAACAUAAUCCCCCAUCUUGGAGGUGGGGCUUGAUGGGAGGUGUUCGGGUCAUGGGGGAAUAUCCCUCGUGGAGUGCCUGCCCCGUGGUAAUCAGCUCUUGCUAGAGUUGGUGGUUUAAAGAGCUGGGCAGCUGUCUUGCUUCUCUCCUUCACCAGGGGAUACACUGGCUACCCCUUUGCCGUCCACUGUGAUUGGAAACUUCCUAAGUCCUCACCAGGAGCAAAUGCUAGUACCAUGCUUCUUGUACAACCUGCAGAACCAUAAGUCAAAAUAGCCUCUUUUCUUUGCAAAUUACCCAGCCUCAGUUAUUUCUUUAUAGCAAUACAAAUGGACUAACACACAUUUUUUGGAAGAAAGUUCUGAGGCUCAAGGUUACAAGACUUGCUUGGGCGGUACCUAGAAAGUGGCAUGCCUGAUAUCUGAAUACAGCACUUUCUGACUCCUAAGCCUUUCUUUCUGCCACUGGAAUAUUUACUUUUGUGAGUAAUCAGUUUGGGAACAUACAAUGACUGGAGUCUGGUUUGGCAUUAACGUUGCAUUUUUUUUUUUUCUUUUUUAAAGAUGGGGUUUCACCAUGAUGGCCAGGAUGGUCUUGAACUCCUGACCUCAGGUGAUCCACCCACCUUGGCCUCCCAAAGUGCUAGGAUUACAGGCGUGAGCCACCGCGCCCGGCCUAACGCUGCAUUUUCAAAGCAAGGGUAGAAUGCAUUCAGGGCUUGCCUUGCAGAUUUACUUCUGCACUUUUGCUUUUGUUUUUUCUGGUCAGGACUUUUCUGACAGAAUAUUGUCGGAGCCUCGCCCUGCUCCUGGAAGAUUGAAUGUUGAAGUGUGAUGAUUAGGUGCAUUCUUUUUUUUCUUAUUGAAGAAGGUCAGUGUCAGGAGUAAUUCCUUUUUUUGCACAAAAUGACAGUUCUUAUUAAGAGACAAUACGUCUACUGAAAAGUCUGAGCUGAGCAGCUUAUCUGUGCUGGGACUCUAUUUUGUCAUUCUGAGGUUUGUGAAAUGUCCUAAAAGGUUCUUACUGGAAUUACUGGGUCAGGUAGCUGAAGCAAACUGAUCCUACUUUAAGUUGUAGGAUGGUUGUUUGAGAAAUGUGAAAGGCUUAAAGGUGUCCAUUACUCCAGAUUUAUAUAAAAAUCACUUUCCAAGCUGAUGGAUCCCAAGAUGACUUCAGGAUACAGUCCUGUCUCAGUUACAACUUUGGGGAUCGAAUUUUGUAUCUGUGUCAUAGGUCUGCAUAAAUUCUUGGGCCAAAGAAAGAAGAGGAUGGAGUGUGAAUGAUGACAGGGAGCUGUAGGUACUGAUGCCUGAAACUUACUGUGACAAGCACCCUCCAUCCCUGAAAAAAAAAAGAUGGAUUUAUGGAUUAAUAGAGGAAUGGGAGAAUAGGUCAAUCCUAAUUUCAAAAACCUGUUAAUCGUAGAAACUAAAUGGUGGGUAUUUGGAUAUUCACUGUAAGGUUCUUCCAACUCUUCUGUAAGUUUUGAAAUUUUCCAUAAUACUAUGUAAGAAGGAAUAAAAAGAAAUGUAUUGGGCCGAGCGCAGUGGCUCACGUCUGUAAUCCCAGCACUUUGGGAGGCGGAGGCGGGUGGAUCACAAGAUCAAGAGAUCGAGACCAUCCUGGUCAACAUGGUGAAACCCCGUCUCUACUAAAAAUACAAAAAAUUAGCCUGGCUGCCUGUAAUCCCAGCUACUCAGGAGGCUGAGGCAGGAGAAUUGCCUGAACCCAGGAGGCGGAGGUUGUGGUGAGCCGAGAUCGCGCCAUUGCACUCCAGCCUGGGUAACAAGAGCGAAACUCUGUCUCAAAAAAAAAAAAAAGAAAGAAAGAAAUGUAUUAACUCUUAGUCGUAGAGAUGUGGUUAGUUCCAGCCAAUGUAUUUGUUGUGAAGAUGUGAGCAAGUGAUACAGCAGAAACUUCUGCUCCUGAUUAGGUAGUGUUGGGUUUAUUUGUUUGUUUUAAACUGGUGAACACCCGUAGGUGCUAAUGAAGAAUCUGAAAGUGGCAGGUAUAAUAGAAUGAAACAUUUGCUAUUCUGGAACAGUGGUAAUAUCUUUGUUAAUAUUGACACGAACAACUAUAAUCUGCUGCCCCUGUUAGAUGUGAAGCCCUAGACCUGUGACUUUUAUCACGUCAUUAAUUUAUUUCUAAUAACAGCGCUAGAGAUUCAGGUCCCAUGCUAAAUGUCCAGGAACCAUUAGCUCUACUUUACACAGAGGAAAGACUGAGCUCAGAGAGGUCAAAGGCAUGCUCCUCAGGGUCACAGGUCUAGUUAAGGCUGGUGUCAGAAUUCAGGCCUGACAUGAUGGACAUCAAAGUCUAUGCAAUUUCCACUCGACCCUCGAGGAUCAAUGUGUGGUUCUGGACAGCAACCUCAGCCUCAUGAGGAGCUGCUUGGAAAUGCGGGACAUCAGGCCUCAUCCCAAAACUACAGAACCAGAACGUGCAUUUUAACAAAACCCCUGGCUGUCUCUGUGCACAUCAGUCUGAGCAGUGCUACACUGGACCGUGGUCCUCUGGAAAUUUGGGACCGUGUCUUUAUUUUUCUCUCCAUGUAAUGCAGGACACCAUAGGGUCUGUGAAAACCGCAUUUAUUUUGUUCCAGAGGGGAAGCUGCAGUACUGAGCCUUAUUAGCUUCCUUUCCAGCAGUAUCAGAGUGAAGGCAGUGAAUCAAAGCCCCUAUUCCCAUCACAGGACUCAGACGCCUGAGUCUGUCCCAGCCUGCCUCUGGUCAUCCGUGUGAUGCUGUACUUAGAGCUCCCCAUCAGUGUGUGACUCUGUUUCUUCAACUACCAACUGGGUGAAUCAAUUCUGGCUCCACCUGCCUCACAAAAAGGCCCAAGGUGCCUUUAAAAGACAAGAAACAGCUGGGCAUGGUGGCACAUGACUAUAGUUCCAGCUACUCAGGAGACCAAGGCAGGAGAAUCACUAGAGCCCAGGAGCUCGAGGCUGCAGUGAGCCAUGAUCCUGCCACUGUGCUCCAGCCUAGGCAACAGAGCGAGACCAGGUUUCUAAAAACAAACAAAAAGGAACAGAAAGAAGCACUCUUAUCAUGGCGACAGUAUACUAAUCCUUCACUCCUGUGAGUGUCUCCGCAGCUCUUUCACUUGUGCUGUCUGAGGUUUCUAUGGCUGAGGUGACUGCUGGGCCAAGGUUUCAUGGUUCACAGUUCCAGCAGUGUCCUUGCUGGGGCCCUCCCUGCAUUCCAUCUGAGAAGAGGAGCUUCUCCAAGAGAGGAGGACUCGAUAUCAGACAAAUAUGUACAAAAACACAUUGGUCUUACCCAACCUCACACCCUCCCUGCCUGCACGACAAGGUCUAAAAUUUAAUGAUGAAGACCAUACAUUGAACUAUUCCUGUGAAGCAUUGUAUCUACCCCUCUACCCACACACUAUCUCCUUUAAUCCUUGCAACUGUCUCAAAAGAUAGACAUUUGCCCCCAUUUUACAGAUAAGGAAAACUGAGUCCUAAAGAACUGACAUGGUAGAAUUGAGAUGCACUUAACUAUUGGGGUUAGAAAGGUGUUGCCUUUAAUCACAUGUAAUUUCCCAGAAAACUGUCCCAUAACAAUUGCAAAACCUCCCCCAAAUUUUCACUGUUUGAAACAACUUUAUUUUUUUCUCCUGCUGAUUGCCUAGGACUCCAGGAAGAGCAAAGGUGACAGGUCACUCAUGACUGAAAUUAGCUUGUGAAUUUUUGCUCUAAGCUAAGGAACAAGCAUUGUGGUACAUAACACAUUGUACAUGUCUUUUGUGUUUUCUGUCACAUGAAUUGAAGAAGAAUGAAAAUCAGGGUACCAUUUGGAAAAGCAUUUUAAGGAAAUUCAAAGUAUGCUCUCUUCUGCAGUAUGUUUUCAGCAAAGAAAUUGUCUUAUUUUGAUUUGUUAAAAUAUUUUUGAUAGGUUGUCAAAUUAUCAUAGUUCUGUUUUACAUUUUAGUGUUUGAAAAAGAUAUGCUUUACUUGGCUAACUUUCUGAUAAUAAACAAACCCGUUUCCCAUCUUUACACCUCCAUGUGUUCUUUUUGAACAGAUGCUUUUUGUGUGCCAGCUCUCACAUCUGGGCUUCUCACUCACUGACAUCCAGGAAAGGGAUCUGCAGAGUUUCCAAGAGCCCGCCCCUUGUCGUUAAUCACAGGUAGCAGUGGGAGUCUUCCCCGUACCUAGAAUCAGUGUCAGUCUUGGACAAAUGGUGACUGGAAGUUUGGCUUGAUAUUCUGCCCCAUUCCUCCUUCCCAUUUACACACAGGGUUCUGUGCACAUGUGGAUACAGAAAGUAAGCCCAGAGAUGGGUCAGGGAACACAGGGAUUUGGGAAGCAUUGGAGAAGCCGGAUUAGGAACACUGGUUCAGGGCUCAGACCUGGAUGUUUGUCCCUGCAUCUACCACUUGCGUAGAUGUAUGAGCAUAGGCCUGCUUGUGCAGGCUUCAGUUUCCCUUACCUAUUAAAUAGGGGCAGUGAUAUAUUCUACAACUAUGACUCGAUAUCUGGACUUCAAAAAUACCUGUGGUCAAAAACACGUUAUUCUGAGGAUUUUUAAGUACUGAAUAAAUAAUAUUACUACUAUUAAUAUUUAACAAAAAUUGCGAAUGAGUGAGUUGGAUGCAAGUAAACAUAGAUAUCUGGUCUUCCAGGACAUGGAAUACUUAGAAAUAUCUGCAAUGCAAAAUGGCCAUUCUCAAGUAAAGGGUAGAGAGUGCAUCACAAUAGCAGCUCAUAGGAGAGGCAAAACCUAUAGCUCACUGCUGGGAUGACCAGGGAAGGCUAUGUGUUGAGCUUUCUAGACCUUGAGUACUAGUAUUUUCUGAGCAUUAAGGUAAGUAGUGAGAGCGUCUCAGUCAGAGAGAAGGGAUUUGACUUUCAGAGAUGAAAAAGCUCAAAACGUAGGCAAAGAACCAGUAGUAGGUGCAGUAAGUCGUCAGGGCUCCCCUGUCAGAAAUGCCUUUGAGACUGGCCGGUUACCCACGCAGUUAACAGGAUGACCAGGACCUGGCUCCAGCCAGUCACUUGCAGGCUCUGUAUUGGCAUAUGUUUCAAUUAUUCAGGAGAUACAAGAAAUCUGGACUUAGACAUACUAAGUCUCAUUUGGUAAAACAUGAUGAUGGUCAAAUCCAACAUGUCUCUGGUUGACUCAGAUUAUGUGUGGUGAGUGUGUGACCACUGGGAUCGUGAUGGGUGGAAAGGAGCCCUGGCCUGGGAUCCAGGAGGCCCAGGAUUAAUCCAAGCUCUGUGUCCUUGGACAGGCUUCUCACAUCCUCUGUGCAUCAGUUUCCAGAAGGCACCUUGAUAGGAGUUGUGGUUUACUAGAGCCCAACCAAGCCUUGUUAUUAUUAUUUUUUUUUUUUUUGUAGACUAAAUGUAAUCCUUGGGUUUUCAGGGUCUGAAUUAUACUACGGACCCCUGCUCUUGUUCCUCCCCCUGCCCCACUGUAUUUGUUUUAUUGUUAUGUUUCCUGUUCUUACAUUUUGUAAAGGGGCCAUUAUCUAGGGAUGAAAAUGGAUAAAAUUUGUGUACAUAAAUUAGCAUACGGAGACUUUGAGAUGGAAACGUGCCAACCUUUUCCAAAGAGAAGGCCAGAUAACAGGCUGCAAGAUUGAGCAGCUUUCCUGAGAACAGUAGAGGAAACAAUUUCCCUCAGUGCUUACCACAGAAAGGAAGGUAAAGGAACUGGAGGAUGGAUAAAAGUAUCCAAAAAGCAUGAAAGAUGAAUCGAUGGGAAACGCUGGUGCGACCACUCAAGGGGUCAUGGGUGGAAAAAGUCAUUCCAUUAAAAAAAAUAAACAGUGGAAAAAGAAUGGAGCCAUAGUCAUGGGAAAAAGUGAGAUCACAUUUAAAAACUUUCGAGAUUGGCCUGGAAAAAUAAGGCUUUAUGAGUUUAACAUGAGGACUCUAUUCUUACCACCUGUGGAGAGUAAUUGGCACUGGCCGACCAGAGGUUUGUUUUGCCUUCUUGGCAGGAGCUGAAUUGUUAUGUUAAUAGUCCGCUGGCUAAGUGUUAAGUACUGCGUUUGAAUGGAAGGAGUUUUGCAGAGGAGAAAAUUCCCACCCCAGGUUCCUAUUCCGACCACUGAGUGCUUUACGGAUUUCAGACUUCACACACUCAAAUUCUAAGAAACAAUUAGUAUCAUGGCUGAUAUUUCUAGCAUUUUAUGAGAACGAACAGUUUCUACUGGGAACUCUCCUGUAGGUGGUUUACGGCCAGAGCGUAUCCAGGCUCAGGUUUGGCCCCAAGAGCCCAUUUGGAGCUAAAGAACAAAUUUCAUCACAGCAGCAUUGCCUACCUUUUCGUACUUGUCUGUGCCAGCUCUUUUCCAUUCACAUUGGCUUCUCCUUAGAGGUCAUUCCACUGAUUUGGCUCUUAAAAUAUUUUAAUUGUCCUUCAACAAGGUGAGCCCCCAAACCUCAGGGCACUCAGGAUGAAAUAGCUUAGUAGUCGAUGCAUUAUUAAAAUGAACUUUUCCAGAUUUAAGAAUUAUCAAGUCAUCUGCUGGAUGAUUGGUUUGUCUUUUUUAGGAGGCGGCAUCUCUCUGCAGUCCUAAAACCGCUUUUAAAAUGAUCUUUCAUGUGACCUUUUGACUCUAGAUUGCUGAUUGCUGGUAAAAACUAAAGAUUGACCUAAUUUACAGUAAUUUGUGAUUGACUUAUGACCCCUUAAAAGUCUCACAUCGUUAGGGUUGCAGAAAUAGAUUGCUUCUUAAUUGCAAAUGAGCUCGUAGCUGCAAAUGACUUCACACCUCUUCCUGCAACUCACCUUCCUCCCACCUUCCUCGGGUGGUUGACUUGCUUCACAACAUCUUACCUCACUUACGCUCGUGUGCACAGAUUUCCAAAAGGUGUGAUACUGUGACUUUUUUUCUUUUCUUUCUUUCUUUUUUUUUUUUUUUUUUUUUUUGAGACGGAGUUUCACUCUUGUUACCCAGCCUGGAGUGCAAUGGUGCGAUCUCGGCUCACCGCAACCUCCGCCUCCUGGGUUCAGGCAAUUCUCCUGCCUCAGCCUCCUGAGUAGCUGGGACUACAGGCACGCACCACCAUGCCCAGCUAAUUUUUUUUGUAUUUUUAGUAGAGACGGGGUUUCGCCAUGUUGACCAGGAUGGCCUCCAUCUCUUGACCUCGUGAUCCACCCGCCUCGGCCUCCCAAAGUGCUGGGAUUACAGGCGUGAGCCACCGCGCCCGGCCGACUUUUUUUCAUGUUGUCUUUUAUGGCAGUGACAAAGGAAUUUGGUUGAAAUUAAGCCCCUGUGGUAACCACAAGGCUUAGAAGUCUAAUAAAGAAAACCCAUGUAAAUUAUAUGGAAGCUCGUGAACUAGAGAUUCUAAUUGAGCCAUUUACUUCCCCAGAAGCAAAUUAGGGAACUAGAGCUAUUAAAAUCCGUUAGGUCUCUAAGACAUCAUUUGGGCAAUUACUUCCAAUUCCAGAAAAUUUUCUGAGCUCCAUUUCUGCAUACUACAUAAUACCCAAGUAGUAUUUAAUUCAGAGAUUUCUAAACUGUGCUUCCAUCAAACAUAGAUUAACAUGGACUAAGAUUUAACACUGUUGGAACUGAACAAUGACGAAUUUCUUCCUUUCAAAAGAUGUUCUCACUUUUACAUUUAAUUGCCUGUACCUUACUUUACAAAAUAGCACUUCAGUAUAGACAACAAAAUGCUAGUUGAGGUCAGUCCUCUCCCAACAGGUAGUUAGUUAACAUUUGAAGUAUCGUCUUCAGAAAUGUACAUUUCAGGAGAGGUUACUUGGCCUGUUACAUUUCCUAACUGGAGACCCCACCGCAGACACGUUCAAAGGCAAAGCUUUGGACGAAGACUGAGCGGUUGUGUCCGCGUUGCCAACCUCGAGCAGCAGUGGCUUCUCCACGUGGAACCCGGGAGUAGGAGACUCAGAAUCGAAUCUCUUCUCCCUCCUCCCGCCUGUUUUUGGCUUUCUGAGAAGCCUUAUCCUCAGACACAAUGGCCAGCAACGUUACCAACAAGACACAUCCUCGCUCCAUGAACUCCCGUGUGUUCAUUGGGAAUCUCAGCACUCUCGUGGUCAGGAAAUCUGAUGUGGAGGCAAUCUUUUCAAAGUAUGGCAAAAUUGUGGGCUGCUCUGUUCAUAAGGGCUUUGCCUUCGUUCAAUAUGUUAAUGAGAAAAAUGCCCGGGCUGCUGUGGCAGGAAAGGAUGGCAGAAUGAUUGCCGGCCAGGUUUUAGAUAUUAACCUGGCUGCAGAGCCGGAAGUGAACCGAGAAAAGCAGGUGUGAAACCAUCUGCAGCGGAGAUGUACGGCUCCUCUUUUGACUUGGACUAUGACUUUCAACGGGAUUAUUAUGAUAGGAUGUACAGUUACCCAGCCCGUGUACCUACUCCUCCUCCUAUUGCUCAGGCUGUAGUGCCCUCGAAACCUCAGCGCAUGUAUCAGGAAACACCUCACCAAGGGGCAAAAGUGGCUUCAAUUCUAAGAGUGGGCAGUGGGGAUCUUCCAAGUCUGGAAAGUUGAAAGGAGAUGACCUUCAGGCCAUUAAGAAGGAACUGACUCAGAUAAAACAAAAAGUGGAUUCUCUCCUGGAAAACAUUGAAAAGGAACAGAGCAAACAAGCAGCAGAGAUGAAGAAUGAUAAGUAAGAAGAGGAGCAGAGCAGCAGCUCCGUGAAGAAAGAUGAGACUCAUGUGAAGAUGGAGUCUGAGAGGGCUGCAGAUGACCCUGCUGAGGAGGGGGACCUACUGGAUGAUGAUGAUAAUGAAGAUGGGGGAUGACCAGCUGGAGUAGAUCAAGGAUGAUGAAAAAGAGGCUGAGGAAGGAGAGGAUGACUCUUAAGCACAUAGUGGGGUUUAGAAAUCUUACCCCAUUAUUUCUUUACCUAGGCGCUUGUCUAAGAUCAAAUUUUUCACCAGAUCCUCUCCCCUAGUAUCUGCAGCACAUGCUCACUGUUCUCCCCAUCCUUGUCCCUCCCACCUCCAUUAAUUCAUAUUUCCCUGCACCUAGUCCCAUUUUCACUUCCUUUGACCCUCCUAGUAGUUUUGUUAAGUCUUACCCUGUAAUUUUUGCUUUUAAUUUUGAUACCUCUUUAUGACUUAACAAUUAAAAGGAUGUAUGGUUU